CUAUGAGGUCUACCAUUCGUGAUGUACACAAUUUCGCUGAUGGUGGUAUUGUAACAUCUCUUAUCAAUAUGCUCCUAACGGGUGGAAGUCUUGGUGGUGGAUCAAGACAGGAGCCCCAGUUAACUGCCCACGAACAAUUUGAUGUGUACUCAAAACCCUUUUCUCUGUGAAUCUAACUGGCCUAUGAUAGCUUCAUCCAACUGCUUGUAAUCUGUUUCAAAGCAAUGCUCCUUGGAUUUUGUUCAACUCUUAUUGAGAAAAGGCAUUCUCUUAAUUUACUGCAGAUUCUUUUCUUUUUUGUUUCUCCAUGUACAGAAUUUUCUUUCUCAUAUAUGGGACAUAAGAUUUAGGAACAUGUAUAUAGGAACAUGAGUUUUACAAACUGUUAUUCUUAGAGCAUUAAUAUCAAAUAGUUGAAUUUUAUAAA
Molecule: non-coding RNA, 427 nt
Organism: Carica papaya (papaya)
Lineage: Eukaryota; Viridiplantae; Streptophyta; Magnoliopsida; Brassicales; Caricaceae
Source: RefSeq, a predicted model, not a curated record